This 308-nucleotide long non-coding RNA is filed under the name Panax ginseng (ginseng). RNAcentral's name for it is "long non-coding RNA (PGIN_LNC011743)". Lineage: Eukaryota; Viridiplantae; Streptophyta; Magnoliopsida; Apiales; Araliaceae. The record is from RNAcentral.
AGAAAUUUAGAUUGUACCUUUUUCUGCUCAGUGCAUUCACGAGCAAAAUGUCCAACCUUCUGACAAUUAUAGCAAGUCAUUUUCUUCUUUCCUCCUCUUUUUCCCCUGCGACGCUUAGCAUACCCUUCUGUUUUAGUGCAUUAGUCUUAACCUGAUCGUUGCCAUUAGCUUGCCUCUUGUGCUUGCCUUUUACAUUGUGCGGACUAGCUUGAGCCAUGAAAACAAAGCUUCCAUCUUUAGCACAUAUUCAAGCUCAAUAUGCCUUUUGAGAUCAACAAGAGUUUUGAUACUGUCAUUAUGUAUCACAG